AUUGAACGCUGGCGGCAGGCUUAACACAUGCAAGUCGAGCGGAGCGAGGGUGCUUGCACCUUAGCUUAGCGGCGGACGGGUGAGUAAUGCUUAGGAAUCUGCCUAUUAGUGGGGGACAACAUUCCGAAAGGAAUGCUAAUACCGCAUACGCCCUACGGGGGAAAGCAGGGGAUCUUCGGACCUUGCGCUAAUAGAUGAGCCUAAGUCGGAUUAGCUAGUUGGUGGGGUAAAGGCCUACCAAGGCGACGAUCUGUAGCGGGUCUGAGAGGAUGUUCCGCCACACUGGGACUGAAACACGGCCCAGACUCCUACGGGAGGCAGCAGUGGGGAAUAUUGGACAAUGGGCGGAAGCCUGAUCCAGCCAUGCCGCGUGUGUGAAGAAGGCCUUUUGGUUGUAAAGCACUUUAAGCGAGGAGGAGGCUACUAGUAUUAAUACUACUGGAUAGUGGACGUUACUCGCAGAAUAAGCACCGGCUAACUCUGUGCCAGCCGCCGCGGUAA
This 501-nucleotide ribosomal RNA is filed under the name uncultured bacterium. RNAcentral describes it as "partial 16S ribosomal RNA". It matches the Rfam family "Bacterial small subunit ribosomal RNA", at positions 30 to 523 of the family's 1533-position model. The record is from RNAcentral.